This is a long non-coding RNA of Nematostella vectensis (starlet sea anemone), 1369 nucleotides long. RefSeq lists it as uncharacterized. NCBI's taxonomy places the organism in Eukaryota, Metazoa, Cnidaria, Anthozoa, Actiniaria, Edwardsiidae. The transcript is spliced from 2 exons. The record is from RefSeq and is a predicted model, not a curated record.
GUCCUCGUCCGCCUCGGCAAAGCUGCCAGUGUCAACCUGAUAGUGGUCAAUCACUUCCUCUGUCAUCUCUGGCGCUGUGCACCAAAAAGAGGAUGUUAUGUUUCUGUAUCAUUACAGAAUUUAGAUUAGGAAGACCAGGUCUUUGAUGAUGUCAUUGGUAACGUGAAACCCUGUUCUAAAAGUAUACGAGGAAAAGAUAUGAGGGAAAAGGUAGGGCGGUUGUUACCUUCUGCGGCGCGUUUCUCUAGCUGUGCUGUGUAGAAGCCGUUAUGGUCAAGCCUGGCGAUGAUGUUCAGCAUCUGGUGCUCGCAGUCCGUGGUCGAGUAAUGGCUCAGUUUCUCAAGCAAGUCCAGCAGGUGUCGAGAGAAGUUCUUGUCGAAAUUCAUCACCGUCCGCUCGAAAUCUUCUCCGCUAAUCAUUUGGCUGAGAUGAUCCGCCUCGGCCUAAUGCAAUGAUUUCCAAGUUAGAUUAUGAAUGGUGAUUAACAAAAGCUAUUGUUGGUGGUCGUGAAUGAGUGUGAUGGUGAUGAUGGUUGAAGGUGCUGUUGUUGGUUGUGAUUGAGAGUGAGGGUACCAAAAGGUAGUGCUUUCAGCGGUUCAUUUACGCUCCUCAAUACAGGCUGAUAAAGUUAUUCGAGAAGACAUGGGACUUGGCCGCCAAAUGGUAAAUGAGAGAAAAAGGCGCCGCUGGGGGUCGAGGGGUCGAGUUACUCAUUUACCAGGUGGCGGCGGCGGUUACACAGCGCGUCGUUUGAAAGGCCGCAAGCUCAUAGGGACAGAGCUCGCUGCAGGAGCAAAACCAAGGCAAACACAUCCAGUUGAAGUAGGGAUACGUGCUUAUUCAACACUAACAAGACAUUAGACUGCAUUUCGGAGUCAAAUUAUCUUAUAGCCCGUGGCUGGCUUCUCAAAAUAAAGCCCUGCGCCUCCCUUAGUGGGCGCGGGAGGGUCAGACUCACCCGUGAGGCUGUUUUCCGUUUUUCCUCUUGGUCUGGAGGCGGACCUUUCUUGUUCAUGGGGCUCUGCCCCGGCGUGUCAUCAGGUGCAUCUGCGCUUGCACUCUGGGUAAAUCGCUAAUGAAAACGAAAGAGUCGUUUUAGAAGGCGUGAGACCCGAAGACUUUACUCCAUUGUCGCAGUUGAACAAAACGAUUGAGCUGAUAUGGAACAACUUCUGGGUUAUUCAGCUUACAUAGAGAAGAUCCAAUUUCAACCCAUUUUACCAAGCGUUGUGAUCUCACCUGCAUACAGUUGGUAAAUGUGACACACACCAGCAUCAUCUUGCUGACAUUCUAGCAAACACAAAUUAGAGUCAAAACAUUUAUCUAGUUAUCUGUUUGUAGACAAUUAAAAGCCUACAAUAAACCCUGA